UACCAGCUCUCCGAGUGGUGUGGAUGUUUAUUGGGCCUAAAGCAUCCGUAGCUGGCUUGGACAAGUCCCCUGUUAAAUCCACCGAUUUAAUCGUUGGUGUGCGGGGGAUACUGUUCGGCUAGGGGACGGGAGAGGCCGACGGUAUUUCCGGGGUAGGGGUGAAAUCCUAUAAUCCCGGGAAGACCACCAGUGGCGAAGGCUGUCGGCUAGAACGCGCCCGACGGUGAGGGAUGAAAGCUGGGGGGAGCGAACCGGAUUAGAUACCCGGGUAGUCCCAGCUGUAAACGAUGCAGGCUAGGUGUUUGGGCGGCCACGUGCCGCUCUAGUGCCGCAAGGAAGCUGUUAAGCCUGCCGCCUGGGGAGUACGGCCGCAAGGCUGAAACUUAAAGGAAUUGGCGGGGGAGCACCACAAGGGGUGAAGCUUGCGGUUU
This 431-nucleotide ribosomal RNA is filed under the name uncultured archaeon. RNAcentral describes it as "bacterial SSU rRNA". It matches the Rfam family "Archaeal small subunit ribosomal RNA", at positions 474 to 903 of the family's 1478-position model. The record is from RNAcentral.